RNAcentral lists this ribosomal RNA (409 nucleotides) under uncultured bacterium. RNAcentral describes it as "bacterial SSU rRNA". It matches the Rfam family "Bacterial small subunit ribosomal RNA", at positions 355 to 776 of the family's 1533-position model. The record is from RNAcentral.
UGAGGAAUUUUCUGCAAUGGGCGAAAGCCUGACAGAGCAAUACCGCGUGAGGGAUGAAGACUUACUGAGUUGUAAACCUCGGUACCUUAAGGAAGAAGAUAUGACGGUACUUAAGGUGGAAAGCAUCGGCUAACUCCGUGCCAGCAGCCGCGGUAAGACGGGGGAUGCAAGUGUUAUCCGGAUUUACUGGGCGUAAAGCGUCUGCAGGUGGUUUCUUAAGUCUACUGUUAAAUCUUGAGGCUCAACCUCAAAUCUGCAGUAGAAACUAGGAGACUUGAGUAUAGUAGGGGUAGAGGGAAUUUCCAGUGGAGCGGUGAAAUGCGUAGAUAUUGGAAAGAACACCGAUGGCGAAGGCACUCUACUGGGCUAUUACUGACACUCAGAGACGAAAGCUAGGGGAGCAAAUGGG